Molecule: long non-coding RNA, 422 nt
Filed under: Gossypium raimondii (Peruvian cotton)
Lineage: Eukaryota; Viridiplantae; Streptophyta; Magnoliopsida; Malvales; Malvaceae
Description: long non-coding RNA (GRAI_LNC005770)
Source: RNAcentral
GUCACGCCAUAUUUAUAGGCGACACCGGCCUGCGGUGUCAAGCGAUGGGACGAGUCAUGGUUUCAGCCCGUGAGUUGUGUGUUUGGGGACCUUAUAAUGCUCCCUAAUGCCCCAUUUUUGGCCAAAAGAGAGAAAGUUUUUGAAGAAAAGAAGAGAAGAAGAAGACAGAGAAGGAGAGGGCGGGAAGGAAGGGGGGGAAGGGAAAAAGAGAAGCAGAAUAGAGAGAGGGAAGGAGAAAGAAAAGGAAAAAUAAAUAAAUAGAAAAGGAAAUGAGAAUUUGUUGUUUAGGGAAGAUUAGGUGUUUAAGAAAAGAUAAUUUUUUUUGUUGAUUUAAUUCGGAUUUAAUUUUUAAUUUUAUUUUUGUAAGGUAUUAUUUGGUUAAAAAGAGUUAUUAAGGUAUGUUUGUAUUUAUGUUAUAUUUU